RNAcentral lists this long non-coding RNA (1416 nucleotides) under Oryctolagus cuniculus (rabbit). Its description in RNAcentral is "lncRNA (ENSOCUG00000031660.1)". Lineage: Eukaryota; Metazoa; Chordata; Mammalia; Lagomorpha; Leporidae. The record is from RNAcentral.
AUGGAGCACCGCGUCCCUUACAUAACAUCCCGGGCAAGCGCAGCCCAGCGCGGUGGCGGGCACAGCGCACGCGGGCGCACGCACAGGGUUCGACUCGGCCUCGGCGCGGGCUCCCUUCCCGCAGCCCGAGGCACCUCGGCGCCGCAGGAGUCGGCGGACCCCGACCCGCCUGGUCCCCCGCGCCGCGCGCUGCACCGCCUCGCAGACUCCGACUCCGGCGCCCAGACGUGCGGGCGGCGCCCCUCAGCCUCCCCGGGCGGGCGAGCGCUCCGGCAGGGACGACCCGCCGCCCCGUUCCCUUCCUCCCAGAGACCAUCUGGGGACAAUUUCCCCAAAGUCCCCCAAAUGGCCCUGCCUGCAGUCGCCGGCGGCGCCCUGCGCUCCUCUCUGAGCGCAGCGGUCGCGUCAAGCCCCCGCUGUACCCCUGCCCCGGUCCUCCGGUCACCCACACGCCCGGCUUCUGCAACUUUUUCCGCCCCUGGGAGGAGGCGCCCGCGUUCUCUCCCCUGUAGGCGCUACCCGCAGCAAACCGCAGCGCAGGGACCCGCGGGAGUCGGGUGGGCCCCUGCCGAAAAGCGCGCGGCCUCCCCGGCGAGCAGGACCCGGACCCUGCACGGGCGUCCGCAGGCUCCCGAGCUGCGGCCCCUGCCCGGGCCCCGACGGCGGUGCGCGCAGGAGCGCGAAUCGAGCCGCGGUGCCUGCGGGCGCCCCUCGGGAGCCCGUGCCGCAGCCCGGUGCCUCCAAGGUCCCCGCGGCCCAUCGGGCCCCUCGCGCCCUCUCCCCCGCGGCGCGCCCGGCCGCGGCCACUGUCACGGCCCCCGCAGGACUCACCGCAAGCGCUCGGCACUCUGCAGUCCUGGCGUCAGCGGCUGGCGAGCGCAGGCGGCGGCGCGCGGACCUCGGAAAGCCGGAGAGCCGCCGGGCGGCGCGGCGUCCGGGAGGCGGCGCGGGCUGCGGGCUGCGGCGGAGACGCUCGGCCCCCGCGCCCCGCCCCAGGCCUGGCCCCGGCCGGCGCGAGCUAAAACGCGGAGCGCGGAUACGCCCCGGCGCACGGAUCCGGGCCGCCCGGCGCGCCCACGCGCAGCCCGGCUCGGCCGCGAGCUGCGAGGUCGGCGCGGGACCCGGGCGCGCGGGGCGAGAAAAGGGGAGACGGAGGGACGCGGGGCGGGGCGCGCGGGGCAGGCGCGGGCUCCUCGCAGGGGGCUGCCGGUCUGGGCGGGGCUCGUGCAAGUUCACGCCGCGCGGCGCGGGUGCUCAAGUGCUGCGCUGGUGCCGCCCCGCCCCGCCCCCAAUUUUAUGCUCCUCUCUCUGACCAGCAAUCCCGGUGGAUUGCAGGACAGGAGGCGUGCAGGGGGGAAGCGGGCAGCCCAGGUUUCCGAUUUACUGGCCUCGGCCAGAGUGGGGUCUGCGCGCUGA